UAAAAACCCCGACUUCGGAAGGGGUGUAUUUAUUAGAUACAAAACCAAUGCCCUUCAGGGCUCUUUGGUGAUUCAUGAUAACUAUACGAAUCGCACGGCCUUGCGCCGGCGAUGGUUCAUUCAAAUUUCUUCCCUAUCAACUUUCGAUGUUUGGGUAUUGGCCAAACAUGGUUGCAACGGGUAACGGAGGGUUAGGGCUCGACCCCGGAGAAGGAGCCUGAGAAACGGCUACUACAUCCAAGGAAGGCAGCAGGCGCGCAAAUUACCCAAUCCCGACUCGGGGAGGUAGUGACAAUAAAUACUGAUACAGGGCCCUUUCGGGCCUUGUAAUUGGAAUGAGUACAAUUUAAAUCCCUUAACGAGGAACAAUUGGAGGGCAAGUCUGGUGCCAGCAGCCGCGGUAAUUCCAGCUCCAAUAGCGUAUAUUAAAGUUGUUGUGGUUAAAAAGCUCGUAGUUGAACCUUGGGCCUGGCUGGCCGGUCCGCCUCACCGCGUGCACUGGUCCGGCCGGGCCUUUCCCUCUGUGGAACCCCAUACCCUUCACUGGGCGUGGCGGGGAAACAGGACAUUUACUUU
RNAcentral lists this ribosomal RNA (576 nucleotides) under uncultured eukaryote. RNAcentral's name for it is "SSU rRNA". It matches the Rfam family "Eukaryotic small subunit ribosomal RNA", at positions 174 to 758 of the family's 1831-position model. The record is from RNAcentral.